GAAACAUCGCUUCCGUGCGAUCGCGGAAGUUAAGCAACGUCGAGCCUGGUCAGUACCUAGAUGGGUGACCAAUUGGGAAUGAAAGGCACUGUA
This is a non-coding RNA of Acanthosepion pharaonis, 93 nucleotides long. NCBI's taxonomy places the organism in Eukaryota, Metazoa, Mollusca, Cephalopoda, Sepiida, Sepiidae. The record is from the annotation of a GenBank genome assembly.